Molecule: ribosomal RNA, 207 nt
Filed under: uncultured bacterium
Lineage: Bacteria
Description: partial 16S ribosomal RNA
Rfam family: Bacterial small subunit ribosomal RNA
Source: RNAcentral
AGCGUAGACGGUGUGGCAAGUCUGAUGUGAAAGGUACCGGCUCAACCGGUGACGUGCAUUUGAAACUGUCAGACUUGAGUAUUGGAGAGGCAAGUGGAAUUCCUAGUGUAGCGGUGAAAUGCGUAGAUAUUAGGAGGAACACCAGUGGCGAAGGCGGCUUGCUGGACAAAUACUGACGCUGAGGUGCGAAAGCGUGGGGAGCGAACA